RNAcentral lists this ribosomal RNA (545 nucleotides) under uncultured bacterium. Its description in RNAcentral is "partial 16S ribosomal RNA". It matches the Rfam family "Bacterial small subunit ribosomal RNA", at positions 355 to 883 of the family's 1533-position model. The record is from RNAcentral.
UGGGGAAUAUUGCACAAUGGGCGCAAGCCUGAUGCAGCCAUGCCGCGUGUGUGAAGAAGGCCUUCGGGUUGUAAAGCACUUUCAGCGAGGAGGAAGGUGGUGAGCUUAAUACGCUCAUCAAUUGACGUUACUCGCAGAAGAAGCACCGGCUAACUCCGUGCCAGCAGCCGCGGUAAUACGGAGGGUGCAAGCGUUAAUCGGAAUUACUGGGCGUAAAGCGCACGCAGGCGGUUUGUUAAGUCAGAUGUGAAAUCCCCGGGCUCAACCUGGGAACUGCAUUUGAAACUGGCAAGCUAGAGUCUCGUAGAGGGGGGUAGAAUUCCAGGUGUAGCGGUGAAAUGCGUAGAGAUCUGGAGGAAUACCGGUGGCGAAGGCGGCCCCCCUGGACGAAGACUGACGCUCAGGUGCGAAAAGGCGUGGGGGCAGCAAAACAGGAUUAGAUACCCUGGUAGUCCACGCUGUAAAACGAUGUCGAUUUUGGAGGUUGUGCCCCUUGAGGCGUGGCUUCCGGAGCUAACGCGUUAAAUCGACCGCCUGGGGAGUAC